CUAAAUACUACCCAGUGACCGAUAGCGUAUAGUACUGUGAAGGAAAGGUGAAAAGCACCCCGGGAGGGGAGUGAAAAAGAACCUGAAACCCUGUGCCUACAAGCACCUAGAGCGCGUCAAAGCGUGAUAGGGUACUUUUUGUAGAACGGUCCGGCGAGCGAUUGUAUGCAGCAAGGUUAAGGACUUAAGGUCUGGAGCCGAAGCGAAAGCGAGUUUGAAAAGGGCGUUAAGUUGCAUAUAAUGGGCCCGAAACCGGGUGACCUACCCAUGGUCAGGUUGAAGUGGAAGUAAAAUUCCAUGGAGGACCGAACCGACCUCCGUUGAAAAGGCGGCGGAUGAACUGUGGGUAGCGGAGAAAUUCCAAUCGAACCCGGAGAUAGCUGGUUCUCCCCGAAAUAGUUUUAGGACUAGCCUCAAGUUAGAUACCUGGAGGUAAAGCACUGAAUAGCCUAGCGGCCGAGAGGUUAGCGAAGCUUAUCAAACUCAGAAUGCCAGAGUAUUGAUGCUUGGGAGUCAGACAGUGUCAGAUAAAUGUCAUUGUCAAAAGGGAAACAGCCCAGAUCUACAGCUAAGGUCCCAAAGUCAGGUUAAGUGGAAAACGAUGUGAAGAUACGCAGACAACCAGGAUGUUGGCUCAGAAGCAGCCACUCAUUCAAAGAGUGCGUAAUAGCUCACUGGUCGAGCGUCUUUGCGCGGAGAAUUUAACGGGGCUAAACCUGACACCGAAGCUUAGGCAAUACAGUAAUGUAUUGGGUAGGGGAGCGUUGUAUACGCGGUGAAACAGUAGCGCAAGCGGCUGUGGAGUGUAUAGAAGUGAGAAUGCCGGAAUGAGUAGCGCGAAUGCAGUGAGAAUCUGCAUGGCCGAAAGCCUCAGGUUUCUGGAGGAAGGUUCGUCCGCUCCAGGUUAGUCGGGAGCUAAGGUGAGGCCGGAAGGCGUAGCCGAUGCACAGACGGUAGAGAUUCCGUCACCACCAAAAGAGUUAAGCACAGGGACACAUAUGAAGUCUCAGAGCCGGGUGUUGGUUCCGGUAGAGAUCGAGGGAAAUUAGUACCGAAGUCUGAGAUGGAAGAUGGCGAGAAAAGCUGUGUGUAUUUCUGAGGUGCCCGUACCGCAAACCGACACAGGUAGGUAGGAAGAAGAUUCUAAGGCCAACGGGAGAAGGGUUGUUAAGGAACUCGGCAAAUUGACCCCGUAACUUCGGGAGAAGGGGUGCUCCAGAGAUGGAGCCGCAGAGAAUCGGCCCAAGCAACUGUUUACCAAAAACACAGGUUUGUGCUAAAUCGAAAGAUGACGUAUACGAGCUGACGCCUGCCCGGUGCUGGAAGGUUAAGAGGAGAUGUGCAAGCAUUGAAUCGAAGCCCCAGUGAACGGCGGCCGUAACUAUAACGGUCCUAAGGUAGCGAAAUUCCUUGUCAGGUAAGUUCUGACCCGCAUGAAAGGCGUAAUGAUUUGGGCACUGUCUCAACAGCCCGCCCGGCGAAAUUGUAGUACCGGUGAAGAUGCCGGUUACCCGCGACAAGACGGAAAGACCCCAUGGAGCUUUACUGUAGCCUAAUAUUGGGUUUCGAUGUUGCAUGCACAGGAUAGAUGGGACACUGGGAAACAAUCGCUUUGGCGGUUGCGGAGUGGCCGUUGGGAUACCAUCCUUGCGAUAUUGGAAUUCUAACCUGCGGCUCUGAAUCGAGUCGGGGGACAUUGUUAGGUGGGCAGUUUGACUGGGGCGGUCGCCUCCUAAAGAGUAACGGAGGCGUUCAAAGGUUCGCUCAGCUUGAACGGAAAUCAAGCAAAAGAGUGCAAACGCAGAAGCGAGCCUAACUGCGAGACUGACGGGUCGAGCAGUAACGAAAGUUGGAGUUAGUGAUCCGGUGGUAUGUGAGUGGAAAUGCCAUCGCUCAACGGAUAAAA
This 1906-nucleotide ribosomal RNA is filed under the name human gut metagenome. RNAcentral describes it as "bacterial LSU rRNA". It matches the Rfam family "Bacterial large subunit ribosomal RNA", at positions 466 to 2461 of the family's 2925-position model. The record is from RNAcentral.